ACUCCUGCGGGAGGCAGCAGUGGGGAAUUUUGGACAAUGGGCGAAAGCCUGAUCCAGCAAUGCCGCGUGAGUGAAGAAGGCCUUCGGGUUGUAAAGCUCUUUUGUCAGGGAAGAAACGGUGAAAGCUAAUAUCUUUUGCUAAUGACGGUACCUGAAGAAUAAGCACCGGCUAACUACGUGCCAGCAGCCGCGGUAAUACGUAGGGUGCAAGCGUUAAUCGGAAUUACUGGGCGUAAAGCGUGCGCAGGCGGUUUUGUAAGUCUGAUGUGAAAUCCCCGGGCUCAACCUGGGAAUUGCAUUGGAGACUGCAAGGCUAGAAUCUGGCAGAGGGGGGUAGAAUUCCACGUGUAGCAGUGAAAUGCGUAGAUAUGUGGAGGAACACCGAUGGCGAAGGCAGCCCCCUGGGUCAAGAUUGACGCUCAUGCACGAAAGCGUGGGGAGCAAACAGGAUUAGAAACCCGAGUAGUCCCAUGA
This 474-nucleotide ribosomal RNA is filed under the name uncultured organism. Its description in RNAcentral is "partial 16S ribosomal RNA". It matches the Rfam family "Bacterial small subunit ribosomal RNA", at positions 335 to 800 of the family's 1533-position model. The record is from RNAcentral.